RNAcentral lists this ribosomal RNA (797 nucleotides) under marine metagenome. RNAcentral describes it as "bacterial SSU rRNA". It matches the Rfam family "Bacterial small subunit ribosomal RNA", at positions 534 to 1331 of the family's 1533-position model. The record is from RNAcentral.
GCAAGCGUUGUUCGGAAUGACUGGGCGUAAAGCGCGCGUAGGCGGGAUAAUAGGUCGAUUGUGAAAUCCCCGGGCUCAACCUGGGAACUGCAGUCGAAACCGUUGUUCUUGAAUAUCUGAGAGGGUGGGGGAAUACCUAGUGGAGCAGUGAAAUGCGUAGAGAUUAGGUGGAACACCGGAGGCGAAGGCGCCUGCCUGGCAGAAUAUUGACGCUGAGGCGCGAAAGCGUGGGUAGCAAACAGGAUUAGAUACCCUGGUAGUCCACGCCGUAAACGAUGGAUACUAGUUGUUUGGGGAGUUAACCCCCUGAGUGACGCAGCUAACGCAUUAAGUAUCCCGCCUGGGGAGUACGGUCGCAAGGCUAAAACUCAAAGGAAUUGACGGGGGCCCGCACAAGCGGUGGAGUAUGUGGUUUAAUUCGAAGCAACGCGCAGAACCUUACCUUCCCUUGACAUCCCGGGACAAUCUCAGAGAUGAGACUUUCUCUUCGGAGACUCGGUGACAGAUGCUGCAUGGCUGUCGUCAGCUCGUGUUGUGAAAUGUUCGGUUAAGUCCGGCAACGAGCGCAACCCCUGUCCUUAGUUACCAUCAUUAAGUUGGGGACUCUAGGGAGACUGCCGGUGUUAAACCGGAGGAAGGCGGGGAUGACGUCAAGUCCUCAUGGCUCUUACGGGAAGGGCUACACACGUACUACAAUGGUAGAAACAAAGGGUUGCGAAACCGCGAGGUCAAGCUAAUCCCUAAAACACUAUCUCAGUCCGGAUUGGAGUCUGCAACUCGACUCCAUGAAGUUGGAA